This 406-nucleotide ribosomal RNA is filed under the name uncultured bacterium. RNAcentral's name for it is "partial 16S ribosomal RNA". It matches the Rfam family "Bacterial small subunit ribosomal RNA", at positions 30 to 526 of the family's 1533-position model. The record is from RNAcentral.
AUUGAACGCUGGCGGCAUGCUUUACACAUGCAAGUCGGACGAGUGGCGAACGGGUGAGUAAUAUAGUGGAACGUACCGAGGAAGGGGGGAUAACCAAGCGAAAGAUUGGCUAAUACCACAAAUUAUUCGAGCGGCCAAUAUCUGAUUAGCGAGUGGGUGGGGUAAAGGCGUACCAAGGCGACGAUCAGUAGCGUGUCUGAGAGGAUGAUCUGCCACACUGGGACUGAGACACGGCCCAGACUCCUACGGGAGGCAGCAGUGGGGAAUUUUGCACAAUGGGCGCAAGCCUGAUCCAGCCAUGCCGCGUGUCUGAAGAAGGCCUUCGGGUUGUAAAGGACUUUUGUUCGGGAAGCGGUACCUAAAGAAUAAGCACCGGCUAACUACGUGCCAGCAGCCGCGGUAAUAC